GAUGAAGAACGCAGCGAAAUGCGAUAAGUAAUGUGAAUUGCAGAAUUCAGUGAAUCAUCGAAUCUUUGAACGCACUUUGCGCCCGCCAGUAUUCUGGCGGGCAUGCCUGUUCGAGCGUCAUUACAACCCUCAGGCCCCCGGGCCUGGCGUUGGGGAUCGGCGGAGCCCCCCGUGGGCACACGCCGUCCCCCAAAUGCAGUGGCGGUCCCGCCGCAGCUUCCAUCGCGUAGUAGCUAACACCUCGCGACUGGAGAGCGGCGCGGCCACGCCGUAAAACACCCAACUCUUCUGAAGUUGACCUCGAAUCAGGUAGGAAUACCCGCUGAACUUAAGCAUAUCAAUAAGCGGAGGA
RNAcentral lists this unclassified non-coding RNA (352 nucleotides) under soil metagenome. Its description in RNAcentral is "partial contains 5.8S ribosomal RNA, internal transcribed spacer 2, and large subunit ribosomal RNA". The stretch from base 1 to 120 matches the Rfam family "5.8S ribosomal RNA", at positions 35 to 154 of the family's 154-position model. The record is from RNAcentral.